UUAAUAAUCUAGUGUAAAAUUUAAUCAAAAUACAUGAUGAUUGUAUAUUUUUUGUAAUAAAAUGACACAUUUUUGACAAAUAACCCAAAGGUAGAUGAACUCUGUCUUGAGAUGAGAGUGGAAGGGAUACUCAAAAGUAAUUCUCUGUAGUUGGCAGGCCCGAAGCAGGGCUCCCCAGAAACAUGUGGUGGAGGGUAGGAGGCACAGCAAGGGAGCUACAGGGAAAAUAGUUGCUAUUCAUCUGUUAUUUUUUAAAAGUAAUGAGAAUUAUUGAUGUACAAGGAACUACUGUUGACGCCUCAGCAGUGAUUGGGCCCUGGCCUUGAGAAACUUCUGAUCUAACAUCAUCAGUUCAUAGGAGUCCAUGAGCUCAUUUCCCUGGCAAUGGUGAAACCAGAGCCUAGAUUUGGCUUCUUCAAUUAGCUUUGGAGUAAAUAUCUUAAUACAAAAAAUAAAUUUUCUUGAAGACACACCUUCUCAAUAUGUUGGUCAUAAGUUCAGUAUGAAAUCAUGGCUUAAUUAGCAAAUUCAUUAAUUACAGUAACUGCACUCUUACUGGCAAGACUGCGGCUGUGUUCUGUUUUCAGCAGUGGUACAUUAAUGAGUCAAAGCACAUGAGCCCAUCCUUGGAAUGUCUGAACGGUUUAUAUUUUACCACUACUCUGUAUAUUUCCAUCCUUCAACACAUCUGGACUGGGCAGAGGGACAGAACAGUGAGUAAGUGAGAAUGGUCCCCAUCCUUAGCAGCAGACAGCUACUAGGGGAGGGUAGGUAGAAGUUUAUGUGUGAUUGCAUGGAUAAUUCCUUCCCAUCUGAGAAAUCCACGAAGACAAGGGGAGCGUGCCAUGAGAGCAUUACACAGGUUUCUGAUCUUGUAAGAGUCAGCCAGAUAAGGAGGGUUGAUAAGGAGGGUUUUGUGUCCCAGUGUUGGGGACAACAAGAAGGAAAGUUCUGAAGGGAGAAGGGGCUGGGAGGUGUGGCAGGACCGAGUGAAGGUUGGGGAACCAGAGCCCUAGGUGGGGGCAGUGCUCGAGAGGUAGGCAGGAGGGGCAGGCAGAGGCCAGCUAGGCAGAGACUUUGUCUAAAGGAAAAUGGAAACCACUGAAAGGUUUGAAGGAAGAAGUGGCCUUCUCAUUCACUGUGGAAAGAACAGCUUGAAGAGGGGCAAAAGUGAGGGAUAAGUCAAAACUUCCCCAAUGUGCAGGUUAUGGCUGAUGAUGGCUGGUGAGGGUGGUGGCAAGGGAAGGUCCCAACACCUUCCACGAUGCACCUGACACUGAGGUCAUCAGCUGGUUCUUACUAACAGAAGGAUAAAUUACUCUGUAAUUCAUACAUUUACUAAUAGUCCUUUUAUAAAAUCUGUGACCAUUAAGAAUUGUCCAGGAAUAUAUGCCCCAUUAUACCAUAAAGUACCUUUGAGUUUCAUGUCUUAUUUUGUAAUGGAUAUGUAUCAUAUAAUAGCCUGGUUUCCAUUCGUUUUCAUCUACUGGUGGUCAGAAGUGGCACAUACUCUGAUUAGAGAAAAAAAACUUGUGCAUGGCCAGUUACGCCCUCCCAGAAACAGAACAGGAUGAAAACCCUAUGAAGCUGAUGGUAGGGACCAAAGAAGUGGUGUUUCUCUCCAUUAAAGGUCAGAAAAAGUAAUUGUAUAGCACUGCUGAAACCACACAAUUUUUUUGUUUCUGUUUUUGUGUUGAGCAGCUAAAUGUCUUGUUACACUAACUCCAGAGAAGAAUGAAUCCAUUCUAGUUUGUAUCCAAGUCUAUCCCUCUACCAAAUCAAGGCAAGAAAAGGAGGGGAAUGGACUUUGUAGCCAAUUUUGCUAAAUAUAAAAGUCUUUACAGCCCCACCAAAAGGGUGCUUUCCCACCUAAUCAUCCUGUCUCUCCCCAAGUCAUGGUUCUGUGGUUUCCCAAGCAACCACUGAAAUCUGUUGUUUUCAAACUUGGUAUCACAACAAAUGGGUGUAGGAAAAAAAUCAACAUAUAUGCCAGAUUACUGUGCCACAUGAAAAUUACCAUAGAAUUUCUCUUCCUUAAUACCCAACAAAACAAGAAAAAUAAAAACCUAUAAAUUUCUCUUAACAGCAAUCAGCUAAAGGAACAUGUCAUGUAUAGUCAUAGAAUAUUAUAUAUACACAUAAUUAUAUAUAAUAUGCAUUUCAUUAUGGCGUGUGUGAGAACACACAUACACUCAAAGACUAGAAAGAAACAGAAAAUUCUGACAUGAGAUGUAGGGCAAAGCUUUGCUGCUAAUCUCAUUUCCAAAUCUUUAGGUGUGAGUCAAGAAUAACCUCAGAAUUUUCCCUCAUAGCCUCAUAUCUAUAAAGACAUGAUUCAGAUAGGUAUCUUUUCCCUGUUCUGAUCAGAAAAGCAUUUGAAACCUUGGCUGACAAGAAUCAGAUGAACAUGGAGAAGUGAGCCCCUGCGGGCUCCCUGGGACAGAAGCAAAGUCCUCUGUGGUCUACACUGAAGGGGAAGAUGGCCCAAAGCCCCAGAGAAUCUCCUGUGGGGAUGAAAGCAUUCCCCAACUAGGUACAGUGCUGAUGGCUUAGGGUAUUUAACUAAAUUUCAGAUGAGGGAGAGAGAGCAAAGGAAAAGUAUUUUAACAAAGGCUGCACUUUGCCUCACCAAACUCCUCCAACCCCAUCUUUGGCAUUCUUUCAGGAUUUAGAAAACCCAAUAGCUCUCACAGGAAAAAAAAAUAUAGUGGGAAGAAGGCUGAAAUGUCAAUCAAGCUAUAUCAGACCAACUAGAAUAAGCAAGAUGAAAAGAAAUGUCAGGGUUACUAGGAAAAUAUUUUCUAGAAAUACAGGGGAAGAAAGGAAGUAAAACACAGACCAUAGAGUCCCUCCUAGGGGAAAAAAUCGUUAAUUCCAACAAGAGAGGAAAUGCCUCAUAAUUGCUUCAUAACAUGGAAUCAAUUUUAAAAGUAUUCAAAAUAAAAUGCAAAAGCAACAGAGUAAGAGGAAAAAAGAGAUUUCGGGUCUCAGGAGACAAAAUAAGGAGCAAAAUAAUAUUAUUAUAAAAUUAAUGCAUGGAUUAAAAAUAGCAAGUAAUAGAACAGGAACUACUAAAAAUUAAAUUACUGACAGAGGAAAACCACAAGAGAACAGUGAGUAAAUGUAAAAAUAGACAAAGAAAUAAACAAAAAACUUUAAGAACUGUUAACAGAUAUGGAAGACAAAUUAUCUAACAUAUGGACAACUGGUAUCCCUCAACAGAGAUCACAAUAGAUGGAACAAAACAUAUUUAUAUAAAAGAGAAUUUCCCAGAAAUAAAGAGAAAAAAAAGGGACUCUCUAGACAAAAUGGCAGGAAUUUUUUAUUCCGAAUGAAUAGACCAAGAUACAUCCUAAUUAGGGUAUUUAACUUCAAGGUUAAAUAAAGAACCCUCAGGCAUUCAGGAAUAAAAUGCAAAUCACCUUGAAGAAGAAACAGUUACACUAGACUUGAUGUUUCCACAGCAACAUUCAACAAGCAAUGCCAUCAGCAAAAUCUAAAAAGUUCUCAAGGGAGAAAAAGAAAGAGUGGCCCAAGACCAUAGACUCUGUCAAAAUGCUCAUCAAAUACAAAGGCAACAGGCCAACAUCCUCAAAAACAAUACAAUGAUAGAAAUAGAACAUCUAUAGAAACUUUUUUUUAAAAAAGUUGCUUGAAUGUAAAGUCCAAUCAAUUAAGAGAUUAAUCAAAAUAAACAUAAAUAAGAAGAAAAGGGCAGGGUCUGAUCCUUGAAUCUAUUUAAAUAGAGUUAGUAAUAAAUAACUAAACUACUAUGAAUUAUGAUUACAGAAUAGAAUGUGAAUAUUACAAAGCUGGACAAUGUAAAAAUAAUAAGAUAAUGUGAACACUGGAACACUGAAUGUGAACUGGAAUACUGUCCUUAUUUUUCAAAGCAGUGAGCCAGUAGAUGCUGCUUAAAUUGAAACAAAUGGAUUAAAAAAAAUUCAAAUUUCUUAAUGUUUUUCAUAGUACAUAUUUUUAAUCUUAGAGGAUCCUUUAAAUAUAAUAUUCCUUUAUGUCAGAGGAUAUUUAAAAUAAGCCGCUUCUCUAGUUUUGUUUGGGUCUUUUUUCACCUCUUGAAUUUAAGGCAUGUAUGAUAAGUUGGAAUAUUUAUGAAAGUAUUUAUUUCAUAUUUACCUAUCCAUCAAUCCACCUAAUUCAUCAGCCUAUCCACUCACAUACAUAUGCAACAGAAAAUAUUUAGAAUGAUACUUUUCUACUUUUAAUAUUGGUAAUUUCUGGAUGUUGGGUUUUGUGGUGAUUUGAAAACAUUAAUCUUUGCAUUAAAAUUCUUUAUAUUAACUUUGUGUUAUUUUAACAAUAUAACAGGGUUUCUUUUUCUUACAAAAGAAGAAAAUAUACCUAGAUAAUUAUAAUGGGUAGCAGGAAUAUUGGUAAUUGUUGUUUUCCUCUUUGUGCUUUUCUCUAUUUUAAAAACGUUCCCAAGUCAAACACCAGACAGACUAAAAACAACAAUUAUCAUUGCUAUUUAAUACAAGCCCUUUUCUAAUUAGAUUAAUCAGUCCUGUUGACCUGUAUUUGAUGGUCUCAGAGGGGGAGAUCUUUAAUGGCCCCAGUGGUGAGGAAUGUUGCUGGCAAAACAAAUACUUAUUCACACUCACGUCAAAGUUUAAGGUAAAAAUUUUAAUCAUAGGUUAUAGAACAAUAAAGCAAAACUAUAAUAGCCACUCUGAGCAACAGUCAUCAUGAAAAUCUUACAUUCUUAAGAUGCUUUCUAGUGUUGGGAGCACCAUCACAUCCAUCACCCCUUCUGAGCCUCAGAAUAGCUCUGGGAGGAGGCAGGGCAACAGACCCACACCCAUUCCACAGAUGGCAACACUAAGCCCAGCACCAUGCUCAAGGCCACCAGUCACUCCUAGCUGGAGCUGACUCUGAAGGAUGGGGCUCUCUCAACUGAACCACUAUUGGGCCAGCUUGUGUGAUAACAGCUGUAUUCCUAGUCUUUCCACAUUCACAUGAAGGCUAAACUCAGCAUCCGAGAAGUGGAGAGGGGCCUCAGAGACUCACUCACCUUUUAAUUUUAGGGCUGCAGAAGCUGUGACACAUUGGGAGUGACUGAUGGAAAUCUCAUCAAGUUGAAGCGGGGGUAAGGUAGGUAUUUUAGGGCAGGAAGAGGCAUCAUUUUUACAAAUGAACUGCCAAGCACCAACAGAUUAUGCAGCUGCUUGUGAGUCUUUUGCUCCAAACUCCUCUUCUGCUACCCUCGUCCACUGUUCCUACUAUGUCCCCUGGGAACUCCUUUUUCAUCUUCGCUUUGCCUCAUCAGAGCACUGUGUUGUUUAUUUCUUCUACUAACACAGAAGCAUCUCAAGCCAACGCCCACAUUGUGGUCUCACAAGGGUGGGGGUUGGGGAGUGGCUCCAGUAGAGUUUCACAGAUGAAUCUCUCCUUUGGUUUCAAGUCUCCAAAAGCUAAAAGGGGCUGCAAACGUUCAUUCACCAAAGCAUUCUCCAGGCUCCUCACCUGACAGAGGACGCCAUCCCUGCUUCUUAAGGUGAGAAGAUUGAGGCCUGGAGGAAUCGCCUGUAAGCCCCAGAUCCCUGGCUGACUGGCAGAGGAGACAGCACUCUGGCUGCAGGGCUCUGGCCAGGUGAACAGAAGCUACAGUAAGAAGACCAACAUGAAAGCCAAAAUUUGACUUCUCGACCAUUUAAUAGAGAAUGAAAAGGAUCUUUCUUUAUCUAUAUAAAGUGAUGUACCCCCAACAUAAGGAAAUAAUGUUGAAACACAGAAUAUUGCCUAAAAUUGCACAUUUUAUUGAGCAUUGCUUUUAGAAAUUAAUAGGAUAUAGAUAACCACUCGAUACCCUUUCCUGAAAAAGCUGUCACUUCAGUAAAUUCCAUGAUCAAAUAGCUUCCUGUAAAUAUGACAUGAUGUCUGAAUAUCUAUUUUUCUGAAAAUAUGAUUGAGUUUAACUCUGGAACAUAAGAAGUAUGUUCACUGUAAGCAACUGAACUCAAGUGUCUCUUGAAGCAUAGUCCAAUAUUCUUUGGGAAAGAAAUUCUAAGCUUGCAACUUCCAAAGGAAGCCAUGAGGCAGGAAGGGAGAUCACUUCUCCACCCCUCCAGCUCCCCCAGCACCCUCUUGCUGUCAGCAUCGGACAAAUUCCCUAACUCUAUCCCUGCUAACAUGCUAGUUCAUAAGACCUCAGGCCACCACCAGUUGCUAGAGAAAGCUGUGAUGUUGAUCCUGGUUUUUCAUGGGACAGGGGAGUCACCAUUCCACAAUGGAGUAGAGUGUGGCCACAUUUGAAUUUGCCAGAGCAAGGCCAAAGUCCUUAUUUCACUUCAGUGAAAUCAUUUUGAAGAAAUCAUCACUGUUUUUUUCCCCAAGAGCAGUGUGUGUCUCUAUAGCAUUUUCGGACAGACAGAUCCCCAGCAGCCCUGCAUCCAUGAUGGGUUUUCUCCACUUGCUCAUCCGUGGAUCCAGAAUAGAAAUACACAGUCCAAAGUCUACCACCAUUUUAUAACUACUCAAUACUUAGUGGUACUUAGAAUAGGAAACCAUCAUGCCUCAAAUGAAAUACAUAGGCCUGGAGCCAGAAUAACAUAAAAUACUCCACUACAUGUUCCUAACUCCACAACAAGAAAGGAAAGAGAGCAGCUCUGCUUUUAAGGACUGAUGGGCAUGAGAGAUUCCAUUGCAAUCAGAGUAAUCUAGGAGUGAUGAUGACCUAUGGUUGGUGUCAACCUAAGAACGAGUGUCUGUGUUUUCCACUGACAUGGGAAGUGGUGCUUCCCACUAACCCAAGGCAAUAUUGCUGCCAACUGUGUCUAUGUCUACAUGGCUCCUUAGAAACAACAGAUGUGAAGCUUCUUCCUAGACCACUGGUUAGCAUGGCAGACAGACUGCACAGUUCUCUUAGCUGAGGCCUCCAUGGGCCUUGCUUAUCAGGCCCAGGUACCACCUUUGUCUCCAGGUGGGACCACCAUACAUGCUCAUCACCCAUGUGAACAUUUAAAGAUGCUCACCGUCAUGCUACUGUCUUCCUAUCUCAGGGGAACCACCUGUUCUCCCUGUCCCUCUGUAACAAGGCAAGUGUCCCACUCCAUGGCCCCCCUGCUGAUCUGCCCGCCCUCUCGGGCAAGCAACUCCUCAGCUUGGUAUAGCUCCUUUCUUGGAAGUUUUUAGGAAGUCAAAUCACCCAAAUCAUGACAAUUUUCUGAUGGCGAGCAUGUGGGGAUCCUUCUCCAUGUGCACCGCCAGGAAGGAGGUCAGGAUGGAGAGGAGGUGAUGCACCAGCCCCUGUGACUCCUCUCCUUUUUGUCUCCAGCCAACUGGGUGAACUACUGCAGGGACCACCUGCCAGGAGUGAGACCGAGUUCUUGCCAACAUGGGUGCCGCACCCCUCUCUGGGAUUACUGCCGACUCACACACUAGUUUAGAAUGUCUCUAAAGCAAACCUCAGACACUCGCCUUCCAGCAUGUACUUCAGAAGCCCCUCCCUUCUAUGGGAAGUCUCUCCUGACUUUCCACCCCAGGACCCACUGUCCCCUUCCUUAUGCUCCCACUGUCCCCUCAGACACUCUGUCAUGCCUCCUGUAACACAUUGGUGCUUUCCUUGUGUGCACCUGAGGUCUUCUGUGCAGAAUGGGCACCCAGGGGUGCUCAGUAAAUGUGUGAUAAAGAGAUGGACACAAUGAGCAGCCUCUAAAACCCUCAACCAUCAAAUACACGCAUCACAUUUGGGAAGAGAUGGCCUGGGCCGCUGCAGAUAUUUCACAAAGAACACACGUCUGCCUCCCUGAGGGAGGCUCCUCCUUAUCCUGCUACCCAGGGUGGGUGAGGAGUAGCUGGUCUGAGGCAUUGCCAUCCCCCAGGGCACCGGCUUAGAGAGGCUGCUGCUUGGAGAAGGGCCCUGGCUGGUGGCUGGCUGGGGCAGGAAGCUCCUUGAGGGGAAGGACAAAAGCCAUCAACCUUUCGCCUCCGAAGUCUCAUGCAGUAUGCUACAGCAAAUAUCCCCAACUGGACGGUAUGAAGGAGACCUGUGCCAUGUCAUGUUGUAUAGACCACACUGUAGGCAAACAUGAUCCAUGACAGGCCGGCCAAGAGCCCUCUCUUCCUCUGCCCUGUAGAAUUAUGGGACUGCUGGAUAAUGAAACACCCAGGACCAUUUCUCAGGAGGCAGAGGAUCUAACCAAACUUUAGUGGAUUUGAACUUUGCAGGCUGAGACUGUUUUGAGAAUGAUAGAGCGUUUAUGCCUAUGAUGAUCUUGUCAAGACUCCAGAUUAUGUGGGUUGUACUUUAACUGUCUAAUUCAAAGAGAAAGGCUGCUGUCUAAAAUCUGGUAACAGCCCCAGACUGGCCUCUGUAACUGUGGCCUUGGCUGGUUUUUGGUGUGAGAGCCACACGGGGCUCAGUCUGGGUGGGUGCGCCCUAAAUCACCCUUCUCUACCAGCUCUGCAAAAAAGCUAUCCAUUACACCUGUGUAAAACACUCCAAAGCGGGACUUAACAACAGAAAGAAUUGUACUUGAAAACGUUUUGGGUCUUAGCAGUACACUUGGUGAAAACAUUUCCCGCAAAAUCCUUUAGGGAAACCAUACCAGCCUGACAAACGGGAUGAGGAGGCCUGUUCUGAAACAUGCUACCUAAGGUGAGACUUCUGUGUGUGUAUGUGCAUGGGGGUCCUGCGCCCAAUCUCCCUGGUGCAGUGGGAAAAGGAGAAUAUGGGGAGGGGGGAUGGGGCAAUGUCAAAGAAGCAACAGCUCACACCCGAUGCAGGACUGCGAGCUGGGAGGGACUCAGGGUUAGCCAGCAAGGACACAAUCCGGGACCCAGGCGGGCAGAGUGGAGGAAUCCCGGGACACCCAGACAGCCCCGGACUGC
Molecule: long non-coding RNA, 8850 nt
Filed under: Homo sapiens (human)
Lineage: Eukaryota; Metazoa; Chordata; Mammalia; Primates; Hominidae
Description: HSALNT0340744
Source: RNAcentral